This 70-nucleotide transfer RNA is filed under the name Acidobacteriota bacterium. RNAcentral's name for it is "Acidobacteria bacterium tRNA-Phe". Lineage: Bacteria; Pseudomonadati; Acidobacteriota. The record is from RNAcentral.
UGGCAAGGCUGGCUAGAGCAUCCCGAUGAAAUCGGGAAGGUCGGUAGUUCAACUCUACCCAGGCCCACCA